Molecule: ribosomal RNA, 253 nt
Filed under: uncultured bacterium
Lineage: Bacteria
Description: partial 16S ribosomal RNA
Rfam family: Bacterial small subunit ribosomal RNA
Source: RNAcentral
UACGUAGGUGGCAAGCGUUGUCCGGAUUUACUGGGCGUAAAGAGCGCGUAGGCGGUCGAUCAAGUCGCGUGUGAAAGCCCCCGGCUCAACUGGGGAGGGUCACGCGAUACUGAUCGACUCGAAGGCAGGAGAGGGUAGUGGAAUUCCCGGUGUAGUGGUGAAAUGCGUAGAUAUCGGGAGGAACACCAGUGGCGAAGGCGACUACCUGGCCUGUUCUUGACGCUGAGGCGCGAAAGCUAGGGGAGCAAACGGG